This 99-nucleotide non-coding RNA is filed under the name bovine gut metagenome. Its description in RNAcentral is "THF riboswitch". It matches the Rfam family "THF (Tetrahydrofolate) riboswitch aptamer". Rfam says of the family: THF riboswitch presents a pseudoknot that joins P1-P2 and the loop of P3 and two THF binding. The record is from RNAcentral.
CAGAGUAGAAAAUUCCGCGUAAAGUGCUGACCGGACGGGGAGUUGCCGGUCGGACGAAAAGCAGAUUCCUGCUUGCGGUGGAAUUUUCGCAUCCCGCUG